Molecule: ribosomal RNA, 443 nt
Filed under: uncultured bacterium
Lineage: Bacteria
Description: partial 16S ribosomal RNA
Rfam family: Bacterial small subunit ribosomal RNA
Source: RNAcentral
CCUACGGGAGGCAGCAGUGGGGAAUAUUGCGCAAUGGGCGCAAGCCUGACGCAGCAAUGCCGCGUGAAGGAAGAAGGCUUUCGGGUUGUAAACUUCUUUUGUCAGCGAGGAAGCCAUUGAGGGUACUUAACUAGUAAGUCACGGUUAACUACGUGCCAGCAGCCGCGGUAAUACGUAGGGAGCAAGCGUGGUACGGAUUUACUGGGUGUAAAGGGUGCGUAGGCGGCUUUGCAAGUCAGAAGUGAAAUCCAUGGGCUUAACCUAUGAACUGCAUUUGAAACUGCUGGGCUUGAGUGGUGUAGAGGGAGGUAGAAUUCCCGGUGUAGCGGUGAAAUGCGUAGAGAUCGGGAGGAAUACCGGAGGCGAAGGCGGCCUACUGGGCUCUAACUGACGCUGAGGUGCGAAAGCGUGGGUAGCAAACAGGAUUAGAUACCCCUGUAGUC